RNAcentral lists this long non-coding RNA (1019 nucleotides) under Carica papaya (papaya). RNAcentral describes it as "long non-coding RNA (CPAP_LNC013557)". The record is from RNAcentral. Lineage: Eukaryota; Viridiplantae; Streptophyta; Magnoliopsida; Brassicales; Caricaceae.
AAAAUAAAAAUAAAACUAUACUAUGGUUUUCUAUUUGACAUGAAAUGGGGAAUAGGAAUAAAACCAAGUCGUUAACUCUCAAUCAUCUGAGUUAAAUGCUCUUGGUAAAUAAACAUGAAUUUGGACAUAAUAAAAUACUGCUUUUAUUAAAUUUUAGAAAAUUAUUUUUGUUCAUACUUAAGUUAGUACCAAACAUAAUCAUAUACACACACACACACAUAAAUAUAUGUUACAUAUACAUAUAUAUAUGUUUAUUCAAAAAACAUAUAUAUACAUAUGUCUGCAUCAACAUCUAUAUCUAAAUGUAUAUUUAUGUUCUGUUCUCUAUUAGCAGGCAUAUACAUAUUCAUACAGAAAUUUAUAUAUACAUAUAAUAUAUAUUGUGUAUAUAUACACAUAUUUUGGAUAAGUAGUACAUGUACAUUUACAUACAUAUAUUGUGCCUUAAAACUAUAAAUCUAUGUAUCUACCUAUAUAUAUAUAUAUAUAUAUAUAUACUUAUCUAUAUGUAUACAUAUUUGUAUGUACAUAUAAAAAUUUAGGAAACACAAACUAAGAAAUUUUCCAAUGUACUAAACAUGGUCUUAGUGUUUUCCCAUGGCAGUACCAUUAUUGCCUCUCUUUCUUUUACUAUCAAUAAAGGAAUACCUUGGAUAUGUUUUCUCAAAGAUCAAUAAAAUUGUAUAAUUUUAGUUACAUAUCUCAAAGAUCAAUAAAAUUGUAUAAUUUUAGUUAUGUCAUUGUUGCAAACAUUUAUAACAUAUGUUCUUGUUUGUGUUGGACUGCCUCCCUGUGUGACUUGUGUGCAUGCUAAACUGUUAUAUAUGACUAUCCAUGUCAGCAAGCACGUAUGUAGACAUGUAAGUUUUUGUAUAUUUAAACUUCGACGUACUCUAAACUGCUAUAUACGUAGAUACUUUCUUCAAAUGAGUUCUAACAGGAUACUUUCUCCAUGUCAGCAAGCACGUAUGUAGACAUGUAAGUUUUUGUAUAUUUAAACUUCGACGUACUCUAAACUG